This 4859-nucleotide long non-coding RNA is filed under the name Homo sapiens (human). RNAcentral's name for it is "HSALNT0394633". The record is from RNAcentral. Lineage: Eukaryota; Metazoa; Chordata; Mammalia; Primates; Hominidae.
AGACAGGGUCCCACUUUGUCACUCAGUUUGGAGUGCAGUGGUGUGAUCUCUGCAGCCUUGACCUCCUGGACUCAAGUGAUCCUCUGGCCUCAGCUUCCUGAGUAGCUGGAGCUACAGGCAUGUACUACCAUGCCCAGCUAAUUUUUGUAUUUUUUAUAGAGAUAGGCUUUUGCCAUGUUGCCCAGGCUGGCCUGGAAUUCCUGAGUUCAAGCAAUCUACCCACCUCGGCCUCCCAAAGUACUGGAAUCUCUUUUUUUGGAAUACGUUUCAAAGCAUGUGAUAGACAUCGGUACAGUACAGUCCUAAACACUGAGUGUGCACGUCGUUAACUACAGUUUAAUAUUUGUUUUGUUUCUGGAUCUUUUCCAGGGAUUUUUUUCAAGAUUAAAUUCCAAGCGCCAUGAUAGUUUCUGAGUUAGAAGGAUGGGGCAGGCCCAGGAAUCAGUACUUUGAAAAGCUCCCAAGUGCUUCUUGUGAUGCAUCGGGUUUGGGAUCUUCUGCCCCAGGGAGCGCUUCCCGAUUACUUCAUAGCUAAUCCUCACCUAAAAUGCAGAGGUGGGCAGUUAUCUUUAACCUGACCAUAGAGCUCCAUUUUUGGUUUUCUUGGAAUCUUUUGUUUAAAACAGUGGUUCUCAACCAGGGGCAGUUUUGUGCCUCGAGAGACAUUGGACAAUGUCUGGGAUGGUUUGGUUAUCACACCAGGGGGCAUCUAGUGAUGAGAGAUCAGGGAUGCUGCCGAGCAUCCUGUAAUGCACCGGACAGCCCCACAGGAUGGGGAGUUAUCUGGACCAAAAUGCCAAUAGUGCUGAGGCUGAGAAACGUAUUUUUUUUUUUUUUUUUGCCUAAAAGAAAAUUGCUUGCUCCAGAUGACUCCAGACAAACCAAAAUAAAAAUAAAAAGUAAAAACUAAAAUGACAACAUGAAAUGAAUUUUUAAGAGCCAAAUGAGACCUUUAGAGACAAUCUCAUCACUGCCUACCUGGUUUCCGUCAAAUACAGAUUUAUGCUCCAGAAAGUACCUAAUUUAUUAAAAUAAGCUGAUUUCUAAAAGCUUGUUAGAUGGUCAGUAAUCUCAAACUUUGAGUGAAUUUACUUGAAAAGGUAAUGUUGCUGGUGGCCUUUAGUUUCUUUUAAUAUAUCUUAAAUAUGAUAUCAAAGAAAAACAGAACAUGAUGCUUUGGGAUGAAUGUAAUGAAUGAAAAGCAGGAUUCUUUGGCAGGUAACUGUGUCCCAGGCCCUGUCCUGCAGGGUGGCAGGGAUGUGCUGAGCUGGGUGAGGGGGGACCGCUGAGGGCUUCUCUCAGUAGUUGCUCUGUGUAGAAUUUUCUGAGUGUCUUGGGAGAAUGGGGGCAUUUUUCCUGAAGGUCUCACUUGACUCCACAGUGAAUGGCUUUACCUGUCUCUUGAGUAAGAUGCAUUUCUAGUAAUGCUCUGACUACUUAGUCCACGUUUGACUAGUUUUUAGGAAAACAAUAUGUACAAUGGAACAGAAAGCUUACAGAAAUAAAGGGCAGUUCUUUUCUUGAGGUGAAAGUGAUGUGGGGAGCCAGUAGGUGACAGGAUUUGCUCUGGCCCCUCCGAGGGAGGAGGAAGAUGAAGGUGAAACGUGGUAUUGGUCAGUCCGUUUCCUGCUUGGUUGAUUUCAGGGACCUGAUGAGACAAUAUGGUGGUGAAAACAGACUGCUGGAUUGCAAUGGGCGGAACUGGGCUUAGUCUCUGGAUAGGUGUCAGUUCAUUUCACACCUGUCAUUGAGGGAAAAUAAUACCUGUAUGGCUGUUGGAAGAUUAAAUGAGACUAUGAACGGGAGCUGUGUGGAUAAAAUGUACCAGGCACUCCCAGUGCCAGAAGGUGUUCUUGUUAGUUCUGGGUGUGGCGAUGUGCGAAGACACCCGUGUCUGCGGGGUGUGUGUGAGCUGCAGAUAACCAGCAGGUCCUGCUGAUGAGGCAACCUUCUUGGGAGUCUUGGCUCAGUUCCGGGGUUUAAUUACGAUGUAUCCUUGGGCAAGUGGCUUAAUGUCUCUGAUUGUAAUUUCCUUCAUUUUUUCAUAUCUAAAAUGAAAGAGGUGCUUGGAUAUUCCUAAGGGUUCAUCUUUAGGAGUCUGUACUUCUGGUGUGGAGCUUUCUGGAAAAAGGCUUCUGGGAAUCUGAAAUGGCAGUAGUGAUGGGCGUGGUAACAGCAGUGUUCAUACGCUUCCUCAGUAAUUUUAUGUAACAAACACUCACAGUGUACUUACUGCCCCUGAGAUCUUAAAAACUCUCACUUUCAACUUUCACGACACCCUAUAACUUAGGUAACUGCUAUUAUCCCUGGUAUACAGAUGGGGAAACUGAGCCUCAGAGAGGUUGGUGAUUUGCCCCAAGUCAUAGCUGGGAAGUGGCAGACCUCGAUGGGAUGCAGGCACCCUGCCCUCUGGGCUCCGAUCACUUGGCCACCUCCCCGCAUGCACCACAUGGGCUGUGGAGUUGGAGGCAUUUGUGGGCUUCAAGAAUGAGAGUUGGUGGGGAGUAUGUGUGAGGAACCGGAGGGGUCAUUUCCCUGGGACUGGGAUUGUGGAGGUUUUGAUUUUGCUUUUCCCUUUUUAAACUGGGUGAGGUAUGAGCAUGGGAACUCUGUACGGAAUGUGUCAUUGGAGAGGGACAGCAGGGACAAUGAAGGUAGUCCCCAGAGAAGUAUGAGAAACUGGCAUUCAGUGCUCAUGCAGAAUUCUCUUUGUUUUAAUAAUAAUACAAAUAAUAACAUUAAUAUUAUUUUUAGAGGCAGAGCCUCACUCUGUUGCCCAGGCUGGGGGGCAGUGGCACGAUCAUGGCUCACUGUAGCCUUGAACUCCUGGGCUCGAGCCAUCCUCUCACCUCCCUCAGCCUCCUGAGUAGUUGCCAUGCGUAACACCGUGCCUUGCUAAGUUUUAAAUUUUUUGUAGAGACCGGGUCUCACUGUCUUGCCCAGGCUGGUCUCGAACUCCUGGCCUCAAGCAGUCCUCCACCACAGCCUCCCAGAGUGCUGGGAUUAAAGGUGUGAGCCACUGCACCCUGCCUAGGAUUCUCUGUAGAUGGGGAGCCCACCUGGGUGAGAUGCCAGACACCUGGCUCCGGCAUAUGCACAGCAGUUUCACACGAGCGUCUCUUACUCAGGUUUCAGAGUUCUGGUAAAAGAUUUAGGUUUGACAUCCACCCUUUGAGGUUUUUGGUUCUCACAUGUUUGAUAACCUGAAGCUUGUGGGUUUGAUAUGGGCAGUAAAGUGGGAUUAUUUCUGUUAGAGAUCCUUAUUCCCUAGAGACUUUCUGGUCUGGAAAGGUGAGAGGCUAUAUAUUCAUUAGCUGGAACCACCAUGUGGAUCAUUUGUUGGAAGAACUGUUAGGAAGAAGACAGAUAUUGCUAUAGAGAGCAGGGCCAGAUGAGCGAGAAGGCAAAUGUACUUCAUUCCUGUACCUGCAGGCUUAUUAGGGACAGAUGCCCUCAGGCGGGGAUGUGUAGCUUCACUUGACUGCUCUAAAUAAGGAGCGAGAGGGUGGUGUGUGUGUUAACCAUCAAGAUUAAGCAAGCAAGAAAAAGACAAAAGAAAGCCAUCAUUUAGUAACUGGUGGAGUGAGUUGGAGCCUGGGAGCUGCCCCAGGACAACUGUUAUUUCCCUUGAUCUUCCUCAAACCCUACCAGGAAGUGAGGGCAACAGUUCCCUAAAGCAGCCCCAUCAAGCUCUUAAGAAAGCAGUUUCACUGGGAGUGGGGAGAGGUAGAAUUGGGAGGUGGUAGAGGGCUGGGGGGUAUGAAAUGUGAGGGCCGGAGUCCUCAGCAUCGGAACUCCAGAAAUAAAAAGUUGUCUGGGUCUUUGAAAGCCUCCUAUAUGAUAAUGUUACAGUAACAGUGUUCUCUGCUACUUUCAAUGAAUAAAAAACCUAGGGUUUCUCAGCUACAGUGUGCAUUAAGAGACAUUUGUGGUCUAGUUUUGGCACUUCAUUUCUAUUUGGGAACAUGCAUUCUGAGUUUUAGACAACUAGCUUCCAAAUGAAAUUUUGGAACACCACCCUUUUUUUUUUUUUUUUUUUUUGAGAUGGAGUCACGCUCUGUCGUCUGGGCUGGAGUGCAGUGGCGCGAUCUCGGCUCACUGCAAGCUCUGCCUCCUGGGUUCACGCCAUGCUCCUGCCUCAGCCUCCCGUGUAGCUGGGACUACAGGUGCCUACCACCGCGCCCGGCUAAUUUUUUAUAUUUUUAGUAGAGACGGGGUUUCACCGUGUUAGCCAGGAAGGUCUCGAUCUCCUGACCUCCUGAUCCACCCGCCUUGGCCUCCCAAAGUGCUACGAUUACAGGUGUGAGCCACCGCACCCAGCUGGAACACCACCCAUUUUUUAAAGCAGAGAAUUUAUUGUUAUUUGCACAAAAGGACGUUUGAACACUUUAGGAAAUCUGGAUGCUGGAAUUAACUCGGUCAAAACAAAGCAAAACACACAGAAUCUCGUAUCUUUUCCUGCCCUGAUGCUGAACUGCAGCCUUGAUUUAUGUUUUGUUUUUCCACUUUUGUUUCUGAACCUAUGUGGUACAGGCUGAACCCUUGUCCCUGCUUCGGAGCACUUACCUUAAUUAUUAUAGAAAAAAAUUAAGAGUUGGCUGACUCUGUGCUGAACUUUCUGGUUUUUUUCCAGGCAGUUUCUCCAUAACAAAUGCGUUUUGCAUAGAAUUGAAAUUGCCUAUUUACCUCAAUGACACCAUCCUAAUAGUUGGUGGUAACUACCUAAUCUAAUAAUCUCUCAUUGUGUGUGAUAGGGCUAUUUAUUGUAUUUUAGAGUGAAAUAAUGCAUUUUGUUUGCAUUUUAAAAAGGAAUGGUACAGGAAAUGAUUGUAAUCCAGGACUAAAUAUACAGUUUGCAG